RNAcentral lists this ribosomal RNA (303 nucleotides) under uncultured bacterium. Its description in RNAcentral is "partial 16S ribosomal RNA". It matches the Rfam family "Bacterial small subunit ribosomal RNA", at positions 507 to 809 of the family's 1533-position model. The record is from RNAcentral.
AGCAGUCGCCGCGGGAAUACAGAGGGUGCGAGCGUUAAUCGGAUUUACUGGGCGUAAAGCGUGCGUAGGCGGCUUUUUAAGUCGGAUGUGAAAUCCCUGAGCUUAACUUAGGAAUUGCAUUCGAUACUGGGAAGCUAGAGUAUGGGAGAGGAUGGUAGAAUUCCAGGUGUAGCGGUGAAAUGCGUAGAGAUCUGGAGGAAUACCGAUGGCGAAGGCAGCCAUCUGGCCUAAUACUGACGCUGAGGUACGAAAGCAUGGGGAGCAAACAGGAUUAGAUACCCCAGUAGUCCCUGUCUCUUAUAA